AGCUCCAAUAGCGUAUAUUAAAGUUGCUGCAGUUAAAAAGCUCGUAGUUGGAUUUGUGGCGCGGCCGUCCGGCGGGGGCUCUCUACUGAGCCCGUUUGUCCUGGUUUUCGGCCGCUCCUUUCUCGGGUAGCGUGUGGCUGGCAUUAGGUUGUUGGCUGCUUCGCGCCCGUCUUUUACUGUGAAAAAAUUAGAGUGUUCAAAGCAGGCUUAGGCCGUUGGAUACAUUAGCAUGGAAUAAUAAGAUAGGGCCACGACGGUCUAUUUUGUUGGUUUGCACGUUGUGGUAAUGGUUAACAGGAAUAGUUGGGGGUAUUCGUAUUCAAUUGUCAGAGGUGAAAUUCUUGGAUUUGUGGAAGACGAACUACUGCGAAAGCAUUUACCAAGGAUGUUUUCAUUAAUC
This 400-nucleotide ribosomal RNA is filed under the name phytoplankton environmental sample. RNAcentral describes it as "partial small subunit ribosomal RNA". It matches the Rfam family "Eukaryotic small subunit ribosomal RNA", at positions 587 to 978 of the family's 1831-position model. The record is from RNAcentral.